RNAcentral lists this ribosomal RNA (805 nucleotides) under Glomus sp. MC4. RNAcentral's name for it is "SSU rRNA". It matches the Rfam family "Eukaryotic small subunit ribosomal RNA", at positions 314 to 1113 of the family's 1831-position model. Lineage: Eukaryota; Fungi; Glomeromycota; Glomeromycetes; Glomerales; Glomeraceae. The record is from RNAcentral.
AUCAACUUUCGAUGGUAGGAUAGAGGCCAACCAUGGUGGUAACGGGUAACGGGGAAUUAGGGUUCGAUUCCGGAGAGGGAGCCUGAGAAACGGCUACCACAUCCAAGGAAGGCAGCAGGCGCGCAAAUUACCCAAUCCCGACACGGGGAGGUAGUGACAAUAAAUAACAAUACGGGGCUCUUUCGGGUCUCGUAAUUGGAAUGAGUACAAUUUAAAUCCCUUAACGAGGAACAAUUGGAGGGCAAGUCUGGUGCCAGCAGCCGCGGUAAUUCCAGCUCCAAUAGCGUAUAUUAAAGUUGUUGCAGUUAAAAAGCUCGUAGUUGAAUUUCGGGAUUGACACAUCGGUCGUGCCUUAAGGGGUAUGAACUGGUGUAGUCAAUUUCUCACCUUCUGGAGAACCGCGAUGCCCUUAAUUGGGUGUCACGGGGAACCAGGACCUUUACUUUGAAAAAAUUAGAGUGUUUAAAGCAGGCAUUUUGCUUGAAUACAUUAGCAUGGAAUAAUAAAAUAGGACGGCAUGAUUCUAUUUUGUUGGUUUCUAGGAUCACCGUAAUGAUUAAUAGGGAUAGUUGGGGGCAUUAGUAUUCAAUUGUCAGAGGUGAAAUUCUUGGAUUUAUUGAAGACUAAACUACUGCGAAAGCAUUUGCCAAGGAUGUUUUCAUUAAUCAAGAACGAAGGUUAGGGGAUCGAAGACGAUCAGAUACCGUCGUAGUCUUAACCAUAAACUAUGCCGACUAGGAAUCAGACGAUGUUAAUUUUUUAAUGACUCGUUUGGCACCUUACGGGAAACCAAAGUGUUUGGGUU